UCUCAGAUGAAAUAGCCAAUAUAGAUGAUAAUUCUGUGUGUGUGUGUGUGUGUGUGUGUGUGUGUGUAUAUAUAUAUAUAUAAAAUAUGACAUGAAUCUAUG
This 102-nucleotide microRNA precursor is filed under the name Pelodiscus sinensis (Chinese soft-shelled turtle). Its description in RNAcentral is "miRNA (ENSPSIG00000019819.1)". The record is from RNAcentral. Lineage: Eukaryota; Metazoa; Chordata; Testudines; Trionychidae.